RNAcentral lists this ribosomal RNA (1366 nucleotides) under unidentified marine bacterioplankton. RNAcentral describes it as "bacterial SSU rRNA". It matches the Rfam family "Bacterial small subunit ribosomal RNA", at positions 9 to 1371 of the family's 1533-position model. The record is from RNAcentral.
GAGUUUGAUCAUGGCUCAGAUUGAACGCUGGCGGCAUGCCUUACACAUGCAAGUCGAACGGCAGCGGGGGAGCUUGCUCCCGCCGGCGAGUGGCGAACGGGUGAGGAAUGCGUCGGGACGCGCCGAUCAGAGGGGGAUAACUGCCUGAAAGGGUGGCUAAUACCGCAUAUUCUCUGAGGAGGAAAGCGGGGGACCGCAAGGCCUCGCGCUGAUUGAGCGGCCGACGCCGGAUUAUCUUGUUGGCGGGGUAAAGGCCCACCAAGGCGAUGAUCCGUAGCGGGUCUGAGAGGAUGAUCCGCCACAUUGGGACUGAGACACGGCCCAGACUCCUACGGGAGGCAGCAGUGGGGAAUAUUGGACAAUGGGGGCAACCCUGAUCCAGCCAUGCCGCGUGUCUGAAGAAGGCCUUCGGGUCGUAGAGGACUUUUGCCGGGGAAGAAGAGGCGGGGCGGACAAUGUCCCGGCGUUGACCGCCCGGAGAAUAAGCGCCGGCUAACCACGUGCCAGCAGCCGCGGUAAUACGUGGGGCGCGAGCGUUAAUCGGAAUGACUGGGCGUAAAGGGCGCGCAGGCGGUUUGUCAAGCCGGACGUGAAAUCCCGGGGCUCAACCCCGGAAUGGCGUUUGGAACUGGCAGGCUGGAGCGCGGCAGAGGAGGGUGGAAUUCCGCGUGUAGCGGUGGAAUGCGUAGAGAUGCGGAAGAACACCGAUGGCGAAGGCAGCCCUCUGGGCCGCAGCUGACGCUGAGGCGCGAAAGCGUGGGGAGCAAACAGGAUUAGAUACCCUGGUAGUCCACGCCGUAAACGAUGACGAUUGGCCGUUUGGGGGCUUGACCCCUGAGUGGCGCAGCCAACGCGUGAAAUCGUCCGCCUGGGGAGUACGGUCGCAAGAUUAAAACUCAAAGGAAUUGACGGGGACCCGCACAAGCGGUGGAUGAUGUGGAUUAAUUCGAUGCAACGCGAAGAACCUUACCCAGCCUUGACAUGUCGGGGCGCCCGAAGAGAUUCGGGCUUGCCGCAAGGAACCCGAGCACAGGUGCUGCAUGGCUGUCGUCAGCUCGUGUCGUGAGAUGUUGGGUUAAGUCCCGCAACGAGCGCAACCCUUGCCGCCAAUUGCCAACGGUUCGGCCGGGCACUUUGGCGGGACCGCCGGCGACAAGCCGGAGGAAGGCGGGGAUGACGUCAAGUCCUCAUGGCCCUUAUGGCUGGGGCCUCACACGUCAUACAAUGGCCGAGACAGAGGGUCGCGAAGCCGCGAGGCGGAGCCAAUCCCUAAAACUCGGUCUCAGUCCGGACCGCAGUCUGCAACUCGACUGCGCGAAGUCGGAAUCGCUAGUAAUCGCGGAUCAGCAUGCCGCGGUGAAUACGU